Molecule: long non-coding RNA, 969 nt
Filed under: Capsicum annuum
Lineage: Eukaryota; Viridiplantae; Streptophyta; Magnoliopsida; Solanales; Solanaceae
Description: long non-coding RNA (CANN_LNC018525)
Source: RNAcentral
GGUAAUGUUUUUCUAAACAAACAACAACUACGCGUCAAUUAAUGUCUUUCCAGUAAAAUGUUGAUUUCUGAUCAAAACCGUAUAGUUUUCUUUCGACCAAAGAAUGCAACAUAAAGAUAAACUCCUAACUAUAGUUCGAAAACUAUGAUAUAUAACAAUGAUCAUAGCCAAUUAUCCACGCGAUUUAACUUUUGUUUGAUUUUUAUACAUUGUAAUUUUCAGGGUAUCUUUACUGGAAGAUGUGGUACUGCAGUGGAUCAUGGUGUGGUUGCUGUUGGAUAUGGUACUGAGAAUGGUAUGGAUUAUUGGAUUGUGAGGAACUCGUGGGGCGCUAGCUGGGGAGAGAAGGGCUACCUCAAAAUGGAACGUAACAUUGCCAGCCGUCAAGGCAAGUGUGGGUUAGCCAUAGAGCCUUCAUAUCCAGUAAAGUCUGGCCCAAAUCCUCCUAACCCCGGUCCAUCUCCUCCGACUCCAGUCAAGCCACCUACAGUCUGUGAUGAUUAUGCUACAUGCGCUGAAGGCAGCACUUGCUGUUGUAUCUUUGAGUCACGUAGGACUUGCUUCUCUUGGGGAUGCUGCCCACUUGAAGGAGCUAUUUGCUGUGAAGACCACUACAGUUGUUGCCCACACGACUAUCCUGUCUGCAACGUUUAUGAAGGCACCUGCUCAAUUGUAAGUUCUUCUAUGCACAGACAACAUAAAGAAUUUGGCUACUAACGUGUUACUAACAUCUUUCUAAGUAUUUUUCUUUACUUACGCGAUUGCUUUUCUUGAUAUACAGAGCAAGAACAACCCACUGGGAGUGAAGGCAAUGAAGCACAUUCUUGCAAAACCAAUCGGGGCCUACGGAAAUGGAGGAAAGAAGAGCAGUUCUUGAAAUUCUACGAAGCACUAAUACUAUGGAAUGAGGUAAAAUAGCAGGCUAACGGAGGAUGUUAAAAGAAUGCUGGUGCUUGGCUUGACAACCUC